Molecule: ribosomal RNA, 459 nt
Filed under: uncultured bacterium
Lineage: Bacteria
Description: partial 16S ribosomal RNA
Rfam family: Bacterial small subunit ribosomal RNA
Source: RNAcentral
CCUACGGGUGGCAGCAGUGAGGAAUAUUGGUCAAUGGGAGAGAUCCUGAACCAGCCAAGCCGCGUGAGGGAAGACGGCCCUAUGGGUUGUAAACUUCUUUUGUCGGAGAACAAACCCCGGGACGUGUCCCGGACUGCGUGUAUCCGACGAAAAAGCCUCGGCUAACUCCGUGCCAGCAGCCGCGGUAAUACGGAGGAUUCGAGAGUUAUCCGGAUUUAUUGGGUUUAAAGGGUGCGGAGGCGGUCCGUUAAGUUAGCGGUAAAAUCUCGGGGUUAAACCCCGUCGAGCCGUUGAAACUGGCAGACUUGAGUGGGCGAGAAGUACGCGGAAUGAGCGGUGUAGCGGUGAAAUGCAUAGAUAUCGCGCAGAACACCGAUUGCGAAGGCAGCGUACCGGCGCCAGACUGACGCUGAGGCACGAAAGCGUGGGGAGCGAACAGGAUUAGAUACCCGGGUAGUC